RNAcentral lists this ribosomal RNA (349 nucleotides) under uncultured Lysobacteraceae bacterium. RNAcentral's name for it is "bacterial SSU rRNA". It matches the Rfam family "Bacterial small subunit ribosomal RNA", at positions 8 to 353 of the family's 1533-position model. Lineage: Bacteria; Pseudomonadati; Pseudomonadota; Gammaproteobacteria; Lysobacterales; Lysobacteraceae. The record is from RNAcentral.
AGAGUUUGAUCAUGGCUCAGAGUGAACGCUGGCGGUAGGCCUAACACAUGCAAGUCGAACGGCAGCACAGGAGAGCUUGCUCUCUGGGUGGCGAGUGGCGGACGGGUGAGGAAUACAUCGGAAUCUACUCUGUCGUGGGGGAUAACGUAGGGAAACUUACGCUAAUACCGCAUACGACCUACGGGUGAAAGCAGGGGAUCUUCGGACCUUGCGCGAUUGAAUGAGCCGAUGUCGGAUUAGCUAGUUGGCGGGGUAAAGGCCCACCAAGGCGACGAUCCGUAGCUGGUCUGAGAGGAUGAUCAGCCACACUGGAACUGAGACACGGUCCAGACUCCUACGGGAGGCAGCA